AUACGUAGGGUGCAAGCGUUAAUCGGAAUUACUGGGCGUAAAGCGUGCGCAGGCGGUGAUGUAAGACAGAUGUGAAAUCCCCGGGCUCAACCCGGGAACUGCAUUCCAAACUGGGUUACUUGAGUGCAGGAGAGGAAAGCGGAAUUCCUAGUGUAGCGGUGAAAUGCGUAGAUAUUAGGAAGAACACCAGUGGCGAAGGCGGCUUUCUGGACUGUAACUGACACUGAGGCAUGAAAGCGUGGGGAGC
RNAcentral lists this ribosomal RNA (247 nucleotides) under uncultured bacterium. Its description in RNAcentral is "partial 16S ribosomal RNA". It matches the Rfam family "Bacterial small subunit ribosomal RNA", at positions 523 to 769 of the family's 1533-position model. The record is from RNAcentral.